GACGAACGCUGGCGGCGUGCUUAACACAUGCAAGUCGAACGGAAAGGCCCUGCUUUUGUGGGGUGCUCGAGUGGCGAACGGGUGAGUAACACGUGAGUAACCUGCCCUUGACUUUGGGAUAACUUCAGGAAACUGGGGCUAAUACCGGAUAGGAGCUCCUGCUGCAUGGUGGGGGUUGGAAAGUUUCGGCGGUUGGGGAUGGACUCGGGGCUUAUCAGCUUGUUGGGGGGGUAGUGGCUUACCAAGGCUUUGACGGGUAGCCGGCCUGGGAGGGUGACCGGCCACAUUGGGACUGCGAUACGGCCCAGACUCCUACGGGAGGCAGCAGUGGGGAAUAUUGCACAAUGGGCGGAAGCCUGAUGCAGCAACGCCGCGUGCGUGAUGACGGCCUUCGGGUUGUAAACCGCUUUCGCCUGUGACGAAGCGUGAGUGACGGUAAUGGGUAAAGAAGCACCGGCUAACUACGUG
Molecule: ribosomal RNA, 468 nt
Filed under: uncultured bacterium
Lineage: Bacteria
Description: partial 16S ribosomal RNA
Rfam family: Bacterial small subunit ribosomal RNA
Source: RNAcentral